Oncorhynchus tshawytscha (Chinook salmon) is the source of this 296-nucleotide long non-coding RNA. The record is from Ensembl. NCBI's taxonomy places the organism in Eukaryota, Metazoa, Chordata, Actinopteri, Salmoniformes, Salmonidae.
GCAGUAAGACACUGAGACAUGGAGGAGACAUAUUAUAGACCUGCAGUAAGACACUGAGACAUGGAGGAGACAUAUUAUAGACCUGCAGUAAGACACAGAGACAUGGAGGAGAAAUAUUAUAGACCUGCAGUAAGACACAGAGACAUGGAGGAGACAUAUUAUAGACCUGCAGUAAGACACGGAGACAUGGAGGAAACAUAUUAUAGACCUGCAGUAAGACACAGAGACAUGGAGGAGACAUAUUAUAGACCUGCAGUAAGACACGGAGACAUGGAGGAAACAUAUUAUAGACCUGC